UCGGAUAUGGUGUAACGGCUAACAUUAGCGCCUCUCAUCAAAAACGCGCUAGCUCGGGGUUCGAUUCCCCGUAUCCGAA
Mucidula mucida is the source of this 79-nucleotide non-coding RNA. The record is from the annotation of a GenBank genome assembly. Lineage: Eukaryota; Fungi; Basidiomycota; Agaricomycetes; Agaricales; Physalacriaceae.